AAUCUCAGCUGACAGAGUUCUUCUGAUGGCAUAUCAAUAAAUUAUUUUUAUGAGCCUUGGGGAUGGAACACCCUUAACGUAUUCUCAAACUUAAAUAUUUUUUCAUAACUGAACUCUGGAGAUGAAUGAGAUUUUCUAAUAAGCCAAUUUUGGUAAGUAGAACUGGCAAUGCGGGAUGAACCAAACGACAAGUUAAAGUGCUUAAUAACACACCCAUGUAGACAUACCAAAAGGUGUUAGUCCAUGACGCAGGACAGUGGCCAUGAAAGUACUAAGGAGUGUGUAACAACUCACCUGCCAAAUGAACUAGGCCUGAAAAUGAAUGGCGCUUAAGUGUGUUACUUUCCUCGGCCCUUAUGGCAGAUACAAUGUUAUAAGGAGUA
This 383-nucleotide non-coding RNA is filed under the name Rhizoclosmatium globosum. RNAcentral's name for it is "Eukaryotic large subunit ribosomal RNA". It matches the Rfam family "Eukaryotic large subunit ribosomal RNA", at positions 969 to 1383 of the family's 3401-position model. Lineage: Eukaryota; Fungi; Chytridiomycota; Chytridiomycetes; Chytridiales; Chytriomycetaceae. The record is from Rfam by way of RNAcentral.